This 70-nucleotide transfer RNA is filed under the name Bos taurus (domestic cattle). It matches the Rfam family "tRNA". Rfam says of the family: Transfer RNA (tRNA) molecules are approximately 80 nucleotides in length. Their secondary structure includes four short double-helical elements and three loops (D, anti-codon, and T loops). RNAcentral also lists the same sequence under 2 other names. Lineage: Eukaryota; Metazoa; Chordata; Mammalia; Artiodactyla; Bovidae. The record is from Rfam by way of RNAcentral.
CCUGGUGGCUCAGAUGGUAAAAGCAUCCACCUACAAUGUGGGAGACCUGGGUUCGAUCCCUGGGUCAGGA